UUCGCUAGGUUUGUGUACAUUUCUUAGCGUCUAUUUGGUUUAUUUCUGACUUAAAUCACGUUGGACUAUGGCGACGUAGUUGCAUUAUCGGUUCCAAUAAUUGAUAAACAGGCUUUCAAAACUAAGAAUUUACAGUCUGUUGUCUACAUCACAAGAACAAAGCUGUCUGAAAGAUUUGAAACUGAUAAAGAAGAAGAAACUAGGUUUGUGUUCAUUUCUUAGCGUCUAUUUGGUUUAUUUCUCACUUAAAUCUCGCUGAAUUAUGGCAACGUAGUUGGGUUAUGGGCUCCAAGAAUUG
This is a long non-coding RNA of Dendronephthya gigantea, 298 nucleotides long. RefSeq lists it as uncharacterized. The transcript has 3 exons. The record is from RefSeq and is a predicted model, not a curated record. Lineage: Eukaryota; Metazoa; Cnidaria; Anthozoa; Malacalcyonacea; Nephtheidae.